UACGGAGGAUCCAAGCGUUAUCCGGAAUCAUUGGGUUUAAAGGGUCCGUAGGUGGAUGAUUAAGUCAGGGGUGAAAUCCUAUAGCUCAACUAUAGAAUUGCCCUUGAUACUGGUUAUCUUGAAUCAUUAUGAAGUAGUUAGAAUAUGUAGUGUAGCGGUGAAAUGCAUAGAUAUUACAUAGAAUACCAAUUGCGAAGGCAGAUUACUAAUAAUGUAUUGACACUGAUGGACGAAAGCGUGGGGAGCGAACAGGAUUAGAUACCCUGGUAGUCCACGCCGUAAACGAUGGAUACUAGCUGUUCGGAUUUAUCUGAGUGGCUAAGCGAAAGUGAUAAGUAUCCCACCUGGGGAGUACGUUCGCAAGAAUGAA
Molecule: ribosomal RNA, 370 nt
Filed under: uncultured bacterium
Lineage: Bacteria
Description: bacterial SSU rRNA
Rfam family: Bacterial small subunit ribosomal RNA
Source: RNAcentral